UUAUGUUCAUAAAUGAUUUUAUGCCCAUUUCUUGUGUAUUGAAAGUGGGACAAGCGAGAUAACUCUAAUACUUUUGAGCAGUCUUGUUUUUUGCAACAGCGUCAGUAUCAGAUUGAGUACAAUCAGAGGCAGCGCCAUAUUUGUAUGGAAAUACAAGUUUAUUUUUGAACAAGCAAGUUGGCUUACAGCGUGUCCAGUGCACAAUUAAUACAUUUAAUGGACUUCUGGUGGUGUGAUCUUUUGGAUUUCCAAGGAAUUCAGCACAUUUGUAAGUGUUAAAAGACGAGACUUGAAAUUCGGUCCUGGCACACGUGGAAGGCCUACGUGCGUUCAGAUUUUCCAUCAUUCGUGACCUUUGUUGUCCCAACGAUUUUUGUUUUGUACUGCGUUCUUCCUUCAUCAAGAUGUCUAUAUUAAUAUUUGACUCACACAUUCGACGCUUAUAUCAUUAUGCGAGGAAAUAGAGACAACAUGCUAACAAUUAUAUCUAAUGUACAAAAUGUAGCGAUUUCGGUCAUUGGGAUUAGUGGGGACAGAAUAGGCCGUAGUAUGCAUGGUAUGGACAUUAGAGUGCUAGAAGAGGAGAUUCAAAGAGAAGCUAAUUUUACAUAUUUCGGGAAACGAUAUCGAUCAGCCGCAGGCUGAUGAGGACUCGAGAGCCAGUCCAAGAGUGGGAAAUACAGCAAGGGACCCUUGUGAUCAAGCAUUUAUUUUUACUUAGAACAAGAUGAGUACCGGUAAUAGGCCUACAGACUAUGGGGGUGGUUACAAAGCCAGUUAAUUUACAACAAGAGGAAGUCACAAGUGACACUCCAACAAGCAACAAUCAUUCAAGCCAAUUAGAAGAUGGCAAUUUUACCAAGUAAUUCAGGAAAGAGGACAUUGGCUUAGAAAAAACAUUUUCAACCAUGAUGACAGGAGCAUCUGGUUGUAUCAAGAAGUAGUAAAGUUUUGAUGUAAUUAUGUAUCUAACAAAGUUUGUGUACAAUGCAUAAUAAUAUGGUAUUGAUUUACAAGAGUUGACAUAGUUUCUUUGUAUGUUGGUAAUGUGUUAUUUUUCAUUGUUUGAAUCCAGUUUGUAUGAAUUUUAGGGAUACUUCUAUUGUAAUAAGAUUAAGACUCGCACUUAGGGUUGGGUGGGGAUUACUGCUGAUGACAGUUCAGAUCUGCCUGUCAUUGGCAGUAAGUGGCAUUUUUACCUUACCCCACCUUUGAUGUAAAAAUUUUAUACAGUAAUGUUUUGAUCUAUUUGGAAGUUGCAUGUAGUGAUAUUGGUAUCACUGCAAGGUUUAUAAAUGUAAAUCUAUCAAACUACAUUUUCAUUUUUGUAAUAGUUUUACAAAAUUGUCAUUUGGUAAUAAAUGACCUUUUUCAACUUCAAA
Long non-coding RNA from Saccostrea cuccullata (small rock oyster), 1382 nucleotides. RefSeq lists it as uncharacterized. The transcript is spliced from 4 exons. The record is from RefSeq and is a predicted model, not a curated record. Lineage: Eukaryota; Metazoa; Mollusca; Bivalvia; Ostreida; Ostreidae.